Molecule: RNA transcript, 3685 nt
Organism: Drosophila albomicans
Lineage: Eukaryota; Metazoa; Arthropoda; Insecta; Diptera; Drosophilidae
Gene: Prp4k
Gene name: serine/threonine-protein kinase PRP4 homolog
Exons: 11
Source: RefSeq, a predicted model, not a curated record
CCACUAAAGUGAUUACAAACAAACGUAUAAGUAGGGAGAUGUACAAAAUUUGAGCACCAAAAAAUAUUAAUUAAAACUAUAUUUAAUACAAAACGAGUGCACGUGCAAGCCAUUGGCAUCCAACUCUUAAAAAUGACAAGCGACGAGAAAAGUUACGACUCCAGCGACAACAGUGAGGCAGAGGAACGUCGCAGUGCCAAGCAUAAAAAGUCGAAAAAGCACAAGAAACAUAAGAAGUCAUCCUCUGCCGACAAUAAAGUGCACAAGAAGCACAAAAAAUCAAAGAAGCGCCAUCGUCAUCAUAGCGAAUCCUCCAAUGCAUCCGACAACAAACAACGAAACUCCAGCAGUCAAAGUCAAAGUCUUAGCAGUAAAUUUACUGAAAUAAUGCAGAAAAAUGGUGGUGAUUUCCGUAUCAUAAAGCCUAAUAUGCAAACGGAUCCAUGCAGUUUAGUCGAGGAGAUCACCAAGACCAUACAGAACAAAGUGAUGACUGUGCCCGUGCUAGAAGUGGCUAGCUCUGGUAGCGAAAGUGAAGUUCCCAUGGAUGUGGUUAGUCCGGUCAUAGACCCCAAACUGGAGGAUGAGCUCAAUCUGGAGGAACUGAUGAAGCAAAAGGCUCUGUUACAGGCACGUCUGGGCGCCUACAUGUCCGACACCGAGUGCGAUGAAUCUCGCUCCAAUUCGGUGUUGGUCAAACGCAACUCACGUGACGAGGACAACGGCGAGCGUCGCCGACAGCAACAACAGCCGAGGGAGCAGCAUCAUCAGCAGACCAAAUUGGCAGCUAGUGAGGCGCCGUCGAAGCGCAGGCUAAAUUCCUCCUCCAACUCCUGCGCGCAGUCUGCAGCACCGCUGGCAACUGCAACUAGUAAACAUGUUAAUAAUCAACAAACUAACAUCCAUAACUCAAACGAAUCCGAUGUUAUAUUAUUGGAUGAUUCUAGCGGUGGCCAGCGCACACCUUCGCCCACACCGGACAAGCGACGACGUCAUGCCUCGCCGCCGCCCCACUCCCUACCCGCCUCUGCCCAUCCCCGAAGCCGUACACGCGAUGAACCGCCACCAGCUGCAGCCAGCAGUCGUAAUCAUCGAGAUGCGGGACGUGAACGACGCUCCCGUGAGCGUAUGCCUCGCGAACAACGCAGUCGCACACCACGCCGUCGUCUGGAGCAGCAGCAGCAGCAGCAUAAUCGCGGUGACCAGCGGCGCCAUCAUCAAGAGUACAAUCGCAAUAUGGAGGAUUUGCGACAGGAGAUCAAUCGUGACAAGCAGCGCGAGAGACGCGAGCAAAGCCGCGAACGUGACAGACGACCCAGCGACAGAGAACACAAUCGUCAGCCAGCGGAGCAGCGUGGCGGACGGCCCAGGGAGCGUGAACGAGAGCGGGAACGGGAACGCGAUCGUUGGAACCGACCGCGUUCGCAUAGCCGCAGUAAGUUUGAAUCUGAUAGGCGACGCGAGCGUGAGCGUCAACUGGAGCAGGAUCGUGAUGGAGACCGUGGCGCUGCUCGUGGUGGUGCUGGGCGUGGAGCACGUGGCUCGGGCAAUGGCGUGGGUGCUGGAGAGCGUGAUCGCUACAAAGGCUCGCUUAGUGAGGGGCAGAAGCAGCACGAUAAAGAGAGCAGCGACGAGGAAAAUGAAAGCUUUGACAUUGACAUUAAUGAGGAUGACGAUGACGAGGAGCGCAUUAUUGAGCUACGACGCAAACAACGCGAGGAGCUGCUAAAGAAACUGGGUAGCAAUGAUCAGGAAUCGCGAACAACAAGUCCAACGCCACGCAAAUCUAAUUCCUACGAGUCGAGAAGCACAUCGCCAGUGUCAUCGCGAGUCGAUCGCUCGCAGCGCACACCAACGCCAACGCUUAGGGAUAAGGUGGAGGAAGAAGAGGAGGAGCCACAGCUCAAUGCAGCCAAGAACAGCGCUGUCAAGGAGAAACGCAACGAUUGGGAUAUGUUUGCCGAUCAGGAUGUGGAUUCCAAUUUUGAUUCACCAAGCACAAUUGUGCAGAACAAGCAUCAAAACGAGAAUCCCGCCUUGACGGACAAUUGGGACGAUGCCGAGGGUUAUUAUCGUGUGCGCAUUGGCGAGGUGCUUGACAACCGCUAUCUUGUCAGCGGCUAUACCGGACAGGGUGUCUUCAGCAAUGUGGUGCGUGGUCGCGAUCAAGCUCGUGGUGCCGCCAAUGUUGCCAUCAAAAUCAUACGCAACAACGAGAUCAUGCACAAAACUGGUCUACGUGAACUGGAAGUACUGAAGAAACUGAACGAUGCCGAUCCCGACGAUCGUUUUCACUGUCUGCGUCUGUAUCGCCACUUCUUUCACAAACAGCAUCUCUGCAUGGUAUUCGAGCCGUUGGCAAUGAAUUUGCGUGAGGUACUUAAAAAGUAUGGCAAGAAUGUGGGACUUCACAUCAAGGCAGUGCGCAGCUACACACAACAAUUGUUUUUGGCCCUCAAGCUGCUGAAGAAAACGGGCAUUCUGCAUGCGGACAUUAAGCCCGAUAAUAUUCUGGUCAAUGAGAAUAAUCUCAUAUUGAAACUUUGCGAUUUUGGCUCUGCGUCGGGCAUCAGUGAAAAUGAAAUUACACCGUAUUUGGUGUCACGUUUCUAUCGUGCACCCGAGAUUAUAUUGGGCAUACCAUAUGACUAUGGAAUUGAUACGUGGUCAGCUGGUUGUACCAUCUAUGAGCUGUACACGGGCAAGAUCUUGUACAGUGGCAAAAGCAAUAAUCAGAUGCUCAAGUUCUUCAUGGAUGUCAAGGGUAAAAUACCCAAUCGUAUUGUGCGCAAGGGUCAGUUUAGAGAGCAGCAUUUUGAUCAAAGCUGCAAUUUCCUCUAUCAUGAAAUUGACAAACUAACCGAGCGGGAAAAGAUUGUGGUAAUGCCCGUUGUCAAGCCAAGCCGCAAUCUACAGCAGGAACUGAUUGCCGAUCAGAAUCUGCCCGAUGAUCAGCACCGAAAGGUGACACAACUGAAAGAUCUGCUGGAGAAUAUGUUUGCUCUUGAUCCGGGCAAGCGUAUUUCGCUAAAUCAGGCGCUAAUGCAUCCAUUUAUACAGGAGAAAAUGUAGAUGAGACAACAGAAUAAACUGGAACUGCAAUUGAUCCAAUAAUGAUCACGUCCAUGCGGAGCAGCCACGACAGUUCAGAGCAGUUGAACCAACUGCUACUUGGCGAAAAUGCCUUGUGGAAAAGUGCGCGCGCGUCUUGAAACUUGAGACAUUCCCACGUCGGGGCGUAACCGGGAAGAGCUUGAACAAACUUGAAAAAGCAAAGCAAAAGCAAAUCAGGUAAAGUAUUUUCCCAUGACUAACAAUAUCCAUAUAGUCUGUUUCAAUGAGUUAUUAAAAAUAUUGAAAUUAUGUUUGAAAAUGUAUCCACAAAAAAAUGCUUAAAAAGUAAAUUGGAUAGCAUAUUAUUAUACGAUCUUUCCGCUAUAUAUAAUAUUUAUAUUUCUUUUUAUUUCAAUCGAUUUAUAAACCUAUGUUCGUUUCUUGUCUUUGUCCACUAACAAUUUUUAAAUAUCGUUGAAGAAAAGCAAAUGAAAUGAAUAUGAAAAUAUGGUGACCGGGGGAUACGUUCUUCCUCAACAGUAGAGAUUACUGUCAUGCUCUUUUGGUCUAAGUCUACAAGGACAAGACUUCUAGAAACGAGUUUCGAAUAUUUUUGAUUGGUUUUCGGGUG